This 470-nucleotide ribosomal RNA is filed under the name uncultured bacterium. RNAcentral describes it as "bacterial SSU rRNA". It matches the Rfam family "Bacterial small subunit ribosomal RNA", at positions 320 to 782 of the family's 1533-position model. The record is from RNAcentral.
UGAGACACGGUCCAGACUCCUACGGGAGGCAGCAGUGGGGAAUAUUGCACAAUGGGCGCAAGCCUGAUGCAGCCAUGCCGCGUGUAUGAAGAAGGCCUUCGGGUUGUAAAGUACUUUCAGCGGGGAGGAAGGGAGUAAAGUUAAUACCUUUGCUCAUUGACGUUACCCGCAGAAGAAGCACCGGCUAACUCCGUGCCAGCAGCCGCGGUAAUACGGAGGGUGCAAGCGUUAAUCGGAAUUACUGGGCGUAAAGCGCACGCAGGCGGUUUGUUAAGUCAGAUGUGAAAUCCCCGGGCUCAACCUGGGAACUGCAUCUGAUACUGGCAAGCUUGAGUCUCGUAGAGGGGGGUAGAAUUCCAGGUGUAGCGGUGAAAUGCGUAGAGAUCUGGAGGAAUACCGGUGGCGAAGGCGGCCCCCUGGACGAAGACUGACGCUCAGGUGCGAAAGCGUGGGGAGCAAACAGGAUUAGA